This 499-nucleotide ribosomal RNA is filed under the name uncultured bacterium. RNAcentral describes it as "partial 16S ribosomal RNA". It matches the Rfam family "Bacterial small subunit ribosomal RNA", at positions 28 to 507 of the family's 1533-position model. The record is from RNAcentral.
GACGAACGCUGGCGGCGUGCCUAAUACAUGCAAGUCGAGCGAAGUUUUUCUGGUGCUUGCACCGGAAAAACUUAGCGGCGAACGGGUGAGUAACACGUAAAGAACCUGCCUCAUAGACUGGGACAACUAUUGGAAACGAUAGCUAAUACCGGAUAAUAGCAUUAACUGCAUGGUUGAUGUUUAAAAGUUGGUUUUGCUAACACUAUGAGAUGGCUUUGCGGUGCAUUAGCUAGUUGGUGGGGUAAAGGCCUACCAAGGCGACGAUGCAUAGCCGACCUGAGAGGGUGAUCGGCCACACUGGGACUGAGACACGGCCCAGACUCCUACGAGAGGCAGCAGUAGGGAAUCUUCCGCAAAGGGCGAAAGCCUGACGGAGCAACGCCGCGUGAGUGAAGAAGGAUUUCGGUUCGUAAAGCUCUGUUGUUAGGGAAGAAUGAUUGUGUAGUAACUAUACACAGUAGAGACGGUACCUAACCAGAAAGCCACGGCUAACUACGUG